This 260-nucleotide ribosomal RNA is filed under the name uncultured bacterium. Its description in RNAcentral is "partial 16S ribosomal RNA". It matches the Rfam family "Bacterial small subunit ribosomal RNA", at positions 513 to 771 of the family's 1533-position model. The record is from RNAcentral.
AGCCGCGGGUAAUACGUAUGGUGCAAGCGUUAUCCGGAUUUACUGGGUGUAAAGGGUGCGUAGGUGGCAAGGCAAGUCUGAAGUGAAAAUCCGGGGCUCAACCCCGGAACUGCUUUGGAAACUGUUUAGCUGGAGUACAGGAGAGGUAAGUGGAAUUCCUAGUGUAGCGGUGAAAUGCGUAGAUAUUAGGAGGAACACCAGUGGCGAAGGCGACUUACUGGACUGCUACUGACACUGAGGCACGAAAGCGUGGGGAGCAA